RNAcentral lists this ribosomal RNA (232 nucleotides) under uncultured bacterium. RNAcentral's name for it is "partial 16S ribosomal RNA". It matches the Rfam family "Bacterial small subunit ribosomal RNA", at positions 99 to 334 of the family's 1533-position model. The record is from RNAcentral.
CGGACGGGUGAGUAAUGCUUGGGAAUCUAGCUUAUGGAGGGGGAUAACUACGGGAAACUGUAGCUAAUACCGCGUAAUAUCGAAAGAUUAAAGUGUGGGACCUUCGGGCCACAUGCCAUAGGAUGAGCCCAAGUGGGAUUAGGUAGUUGGUGAGGUAAAGGCUCACCAAGCCGACGAUCUCUAGCCGGUCUGAGAGGAUGACCAGCCACACUGGGACUGAGACACGGCCCAG